GGAGCAUCGGUGGUUCAGUGGUGGAAUGCUCGCCUGCCACGCGGGCGACCCGGGUUCGAUUCCGCCCGCACCA
This is a non-coding RNA of Parelaphostrongylus tenuis, 73 nucleotides long. NCBI's taxonomy places the organism in Eukaryota, Metazoa, Nematoda, Chromadorea, Rhabditida, Metastrongylidae. The record is from the annotation of a GenBank genome assembly.